This is a long non-coding RNA of Homo sapiens (human), 383 nucleotides long. The record is from Ensembl. Lineage: Eukaryota; Metazoa; Chordata; Mammalia; Primates; Hominidae.
ACAAUUUCUUUCCCAACUCCUGCACAGGGAUGACGGCAUAUCACUCAAACAUCCAUUUCUCCUUGAUAUGGUUUGGCUGUGUCCCCACGAAAAUCUCACCUUGAAUUGUACUCCCAUAAUUCCCACGUGUUGUGGGAAGGACCUGGUGGGAGAUAAGUGAAUCAUGGGGGCCGUUUCCCCAGUACUGUUCUCGUGGUAGUGAGUAAGUCUCAUGAGAUCUGACAGUUUUUUGGGGUUUCUGCUUUUGUGUCUUGCUCAUUCUCUCUUUGCCUGCUGUCAUCCAUGUAAGACGGGACUUGUUCCUCCUUGCCUUCCACCAUGACUGUGAGACUUCCCCAGCCACAUGGAGGUGUAAGUCCAAUUAAAGCUCCUUCUUUGGUAAA